RNAcentral lists this ribosomal RNA (629 nucleotides) under uncultured bacterium. Its description in RNAcentral is "bacterial SSU rRNA". It matches the Rfam family "Bacterial small subunit ribosomal RNA", at positions 26 to 687 of the family's 1533-position model. The record is from RNAcentral.
AGAAUCAACGCUGGCGGCGUGCCUAACACAUGCAAGUCGAACGAGAAAGGGGAGCAAUCCCUGAGUAAAGUGGCGCACGGGUGAGUAACACGUGACUAACCUACCCUGGAGUGGGGGAUAACUGAGGGAAACCUUAGCUAAUACCGCAUAACACCUACGGGUCAAAGGAGCAAUUCGCUUCAGGAGGGGGUCGCGGCCGAUUAGUUAGUUGGCGGGGUAAUGGCCCACCAAGACGAUGAUCGGUAUCCGGCCUGAGAGGGCGCACGGACACACUGGAACUGAAACACGGUCCAGACUCCUACGGGAGGCAGCAGUGGGGAAUUUUGCGCAAUGGGGGAAACCCUGACGCAGCAACGCCGCGUGGAGGAUGAAGUACUUCGGUACGUAAACUCCUUUCGAUCGGGACGAUUAUGACGGUACCGGAAGAAGAAGCCCCGGCUAACUUCGUGCCAGCAGCCGCGGUAAUACGAGGGGGGCAAGCGUUGUUCGGAAUUAUUGGGCGUAAAGGGUGCGUAGGCGGUUUGGUAAGUCUCUUGUGAAAUUUAUGGGCUCAACUCAUAAACUGCAAGGGAAACUGCCGGGCUUGAGUAUGGGAGAGGUGAGUGGAAUUCCUGGUGUAGCGGUGAAAU